CAGCGGUUUUAGUGACCGCCACUGUAGUGAUAUCUGAAGAGGCGGUCUUAAAUAAACCGGAUGUGCACCUCCAGCCAUUAACUCUCCAUUCGAUCUAACUACUUAGAGUCCCUAACCUCAUGAUCUCUUACUCUCCAGAGUGAAAUCCCCUAUCAAAUCCAUUCAUUCAUCGUACUGCAUUUUUUGGAUGAUUCCUCAGGGAUAUACUUGUAUGCCUAAUGUCGAAUGAAUCAAGGGAGUUGUUGGCCGUUGGCCGUCUUCGUGGUAUCCCUUCAAGCCCCUCUAGUAAGCCAAGGCGAUCCCUCCCUGUUUAUCCUAUUAAUUCCAGGGGAAGUACAACCAUAUUCUACUUUGUUCAUUGCAAAUCUGGGUCCAAAUUGCACUGAAGAAGAACUGAAGCAAGCAUUGUCUCAUGGAGCCCUCUGAGAAAUCUGUAGAAAUAAUGAGGAAGUUCUCAGAGCAGUAUGCUCGCAAAUCAAGAACAUAUUUCUGUGUUGAUAAAGGAGUCACUUCUGUUGUUCUCAAGAUUUGUUGAAGUGCUUACCAGUGGUACAUUUCAUCAGAGUGAUGAGAUCAAAUUCUUUUAAUAUGUCAGCAAUGCCUCAAAUGAAUUUAAAGGGAUUGGUAGAUCAUAAAGAUUCAUUAGGUGCUCCACUUUGCCCUUGUAGGUAAACAUUCUGACUGACCCUGCUUGAGCAGAACUUUUCCCUGUCUAUUGAAAAUAGCUUCUAUGUUCAAUCCACUAUUUGUGACAAGGCUGCGGAGGUAGGGCGAGGGUUUUGGAAUUGUCCAUGUGCUCCGAUGAGGGAAAUACACAAUUCCUCUGCAAGGCUUGACGGCCUUGGUUCCGACUCUGCCCCAAUGUGGCAUGCAACAGUGUCCAACUCCAACUAGAAGAUGCUAAGAGAAUAGCAGCCCGAGCGGAUGCCACAGUUUUAGUAGUAGGUGCUGAUCAAUCAAUCGAGGCAGAGCGCCGUGACAGAGUUGAUCUUCAUCUUCCUGGGCAGCUUGCACUUUUAGUAACAGAGGUUGCAAAUGUAUCCAAGAGACCUGUGAUUCUUGUUAUCAUGUCUGGAGGAGGCAUGGAGCUAGAGCAAAGAUUGUCUGACCAGUAUCUUCAAGGACACAAUCUUUCAAGUGGUAAGGAUGUCUCUGAAUUUGCCAAUUCAUCUGUUAAAAUUGAAGAGUGCAAAUCAGAACUAUCAGGAGAUGGGGAGGCCCACAUGCCUUACAUCUCUACUGAACCCAUGGAUGAGUUCUCCUGCACAGCUGCUUCAUUGGAUGCAAAAGUGGAACAUUUCAAUAGCCAGCCAGGCAAAGCCGGAGAAGGUUAAACCAUUAUGUUAAGAAGUGGAUUUGCAUUGAAA
Molecule: long non-coding RNA, 1367 nt
Organism: Nelumbo nucifera (sacred lotus)
Lineage: Eukaryota; Viridiplantae; Streptophyta; Magnoliopsida; Proteales; Nelumbonaceae
Source: RefSeq, a predicted model, not a curated record